AUUCUGGUUGAUCCUGCCAGAGGUCAUUGCUAUUGGAGUUCGAUUUAGCCAUGCUAGUUGCACGAGUUUAGACUCGUGGCGGAAAGCUCAGUAACACGUGAUCAAACUACCCUAUGGAUUCGAAUAACCUCGGGAAACUGAGGCUAAUUCGGAAUAAGGCUCCAUCGCUGGAAUGCGUGGAGCUGGAAAUGCUCCGGUGCCAUAGGAUGUGAUUGCGGCCGAUUAGGUAGACGGUGGGGUAACGGCCCACCGUGCCGAUAAUCGGUACGGGUUGUGAGAGCAAGAGCCCGGAGAUGGAUUCUGAGACAAGAAUCCAGGCCCUACGGGGCGCAGCAGGCGCGAAAACUUUACACUGCACGACAGUGCGAUAAGGGAACUCCAAGUGCGAGGGCAUAACGUCCUCGCUUUUGUGUAUCGUAAGGUGGUACACGAAUAAGAGCUGGGCAAGACCGGUGCCAGCCGCCGCGGUAAUACCGGCAGCUCAAGUGAUGACCAAUUUUAUUGGGCCUAAAGCGUCCGUAGCCGGCCAGACAGGUCCGUCGGGAAAUCUGCUCGCUCAACGAGCAGGCGUCCGGCGGAAACCCGCUGGCUUGGGGCCGGAAGAUCCAAGGGGUACGUCUGGGGUAGGAGUGAAAUCCUGUAAUCCUAGACGGACCACCGAUCGCGAAAGCACCUUGGAAGGACGGACCCGACGGUGAGGGACGAAAGCUAGGGUCACGAACCGGAUUAGAUACCCGGGUAGUCCUAGCUGUAAACGAUGCUCGCUAGGUGUGGCACAGGCUA
This 783-nucleotide ribosomal RNA is filed under the name Haladaptatus paucihalophilus DX253. Its description in RNAcentral is "Archaeal small subunit ribosomal RNA". It matches the Rfam family "Archaeal small subunit ribosomal RNA", at positions 1 to 785 of the family's 1478-position model. Lineage: Archaea; Methanobacteriati; Methanobacteriota; Halobacteria; Halobacteriales; Haladaptataceae. The record is from Rfam by way of RNAcentral.